UACGUAGGGGGCAAGCGUUGUCCGGAUUUAUUGGGCGUAAAGAGCGUGUAGGCGGCUUUACAGGUCCGUUGUGAAAACUCGAGGCUCAACCUCGAGACGCCGGUGGAAACCGUAAAGCUAGAGUCCGGAAGAGGAGAGUGGAAUUCCUGGUGUAGCGGUGAAAUGCGCAGAUAUCAGGAGGAACACCCGUGGCUAAGGCGGCUCUCUAGUACGUGACUGACGCUGAGACGCGAAAGCGUGGGGAGCGAACAGG
Molecule: ribosomal RNA, 253 nt
Filed under: uncultured bacterium
Lineage: Bacteria
Description: partial 16S ribosomal RNA
Rfam family: Bacterial small subunit ribosomal RNA
Source: RNAcentral